This 253-nucleotide ribosomal RNA is filed under the name uncultured bacterium. RNAcentral describes it as "partial 16S ribosomal RNA". It matches the Rfam family "Bacterial small subunit ribosomal RNA", at positions 524 to 776 of the family's 1533-position model. The record is from RNAcentral.
UACGGAGGGUGCAAGCGUUAUUCGGAAUUAUUGGGCGUAAAGAGCGCGUAGGCGGCCUUUCUAGUCAGAUGUGAAAUCCCGGGGCUUAACCCCGGAAGUGCAUUUGAUACUGUUGGGCUUGAGUAUGGGAGAGGGAAGUGGAAUUCCUGGUGUAGCGGUGAAAUGCGUAGAUAUCAGGAGGAACACCGGUGGCGAAGGCGGCUUCCUGGACCAAUACUGACGCUGAGGCGCGAAGGCGUGGGGAGCAAACAGG